This 468-nucleotide ribosomal RNA is filed under the name uncultured bacterium. RNAcentral's name for it is "partial 16S ribosomal RNA". It matches the Rfam family "Bacterial small subunit ribosomal RNA", at positions 28 to 507 of the family's 1533-position model. The record is from RNAcentral.
GACGAACGCUGGCGGCGUGCUUAACACAUGCAAGUCGAACGGAAAGGCCCUGCUUUUGUGGGGUGCUCGAGUGGCGAACGGGUGAGUAACACGUGAGUAACCUGCCCUUGACUUUGGGAUAACUUCAGGAAACUGGGGCUAAUACUGGAUAGGAGCUCCUGCUGCAUGGUGGGGGUUGGAAAGUUUCGGCGGUUGGGGAUGGACUCGCGGCUUAUCAGCUUGUUGGUGGGGUAGUGGCUUACCAAGGCUUUGACGGGUAGCCGGCCUGAGAGGGUGACCGGGCACAUGGGGACUGCGGUACGGCCCAGACUCCUACGGGAGGCAGCAGGGGGGAAUAUUGCACAAUGGGCGGAAGCCUGAUGCAGCGACGCCGCGUGCGGGAUGACGGCCUUCGGGUUAUAAACCGCUGUCGCAGGUGACGAAGCGUGAGUGACGGUAAUGGGUAAAGAAGCACCGGCUAACUACGUG